Molecule: ribosomal RNA, 762 nt
Filed under: Longidorella penetrans
Lineage: Eukaryota; Metazoa; Nematoda; Enoplea; Dorylaimida; Nordiidae
Description: eukaryotic LSU rRNA
Rfam family: Eukaryotic large subunit ribosomal RNA
Source: RNAcentral
AAAAGAACUUUGAAGAGAGAGUUCAAAAGGGCGUGAAACCGCUUAGAAUAAAACGGACGGAGCCGUCAGGAACCGUCGAGACUCAGUCGUCUAGUUGUAGGCGAAAGUGCCGCGUUCGAUGAACGUAAAAGUCGUCGUCGCGGUAUUAGUCAGCCGAUAGUCGACGCAUUUCUCGGCGGUAAGCACUGCAACCGAUACGAAAGGCUAACGAGGUGAUCGUAUUGAGGUCUAGUUUCUUCGGACGCUAGUUACCAGUAUGAUCGCGCUUUAAUCGUUGGACCGCAGUAUGUAUCGAGCGCUAAACGAAAGACUAAUACGUCGACCGCAAUGGUUCGUCGAACGGUGGAUAAUCGGCUAGUCGAUCGGUUGCCUGCUCGCAGGCGUCGGUCGUCGUUCGAGUCGAUUCAGAAGCCGUCGGCGACUCGACGUAUAGGCGUUAGCAGUGUCAGAGUCGGUCACCCGUCCGACCCGUCUUGAAACACGGACCAAGGAGUCUAACAUAUGCGCGAGCCAAUGGGUGGAAAACCUAAAGGCGUAAUAAAAGUAAAAGUCAUCUUUUAGAUGGCCUAGGUACGAUCCUAGUUUCUACAACUGGGCGCAGUACCGUCUCAUCCCUAAGGCACGUCCUAAGGGUGAAGAUAGAGUGCAUACGUUGGGACCCGAAAGAUGGUGAACUAUGCCUGAGCAGAGCGAAGCCAGAGGAAACUCUGGUGGAGGUUCGUAGCGGUUCUGACGUGCAAAUCGAUCGUCAGACUUGGGUAU